AUUGAACGCUGGCGGCAGGCUUAACACAUGCAAGUCGAGCGUGCGGCGGACGGGUGAGUAAUGUCUGGGAAACUGACUGUUGGAGGGGGAUAAAUCCUGGAAACGGUAGCUAAUACCGCAUACCCUCAGAUGUGCCAAGAUGGGAUUAGCUAGUCGGUGGGGUAAUGGCUCACCUAGGCGACGAUCCCUAGCGGGUCUGAGAGGAUGACCAGCCACGAUGGAGCUGAGGCACGGUCCAGACGCCUACGUGAGGCAGCAGUGGCGAAUAUUGCACGAUGGGGGCAAGCCUGAUGCAGCCAUGCCGCGUGUGUGAAGAAGGCCUUCGAGUUGUGGAACACUAUCAGAGAGGAGGCGUUACUCGCAGAAGAGGCACCGGCUCACUCCGUGCCAGCAGCCGCGGUAAUUC
RNAcentral lists this ribosomal RNA (406 nucleotides) under uncultured bacterium. Its description in RNAcentral is "partial 16S ribosomal RNA". It matches the Rfam family "Bacterial small subunit ribosomal RNA", at positions 30 to 526 of the family's 1533-position model. The record is from RNAcentral.